UUGGAUCAUGGACCAGAAAGAGAACACUGAUGGGAAGACUGAUGAAAUCUGAGCCUGGACAGAAGUGAACACCAAAUAUAGGAAAAGAGAGUAAACUCCAGGUGUGUGCACGGACUUCUGAUGGUUUCUCCUUAUCCCCUUCACCCUUCCCUCAACUCUCUGACUGGGCCACAGGAAGCAUAGAUGGAGAAAGAACAACCAGGUUGGGAUCUGAGGGUGAAAGCUACAUGCUAAAGAUGAUGACUCCGGAAGAGGGACUGACCCUGGAUUUUUACAACAUCAUGGAAUUGCCACACCAGACAAAGACUUCUCCCCUAUAGGUUUCUAAUUACAUGAAAAUUUAAAACCAUAUUUUGUUGAAUGAGCCACUUCAGUCAUAUUUCUGUUUAUCUGGAAGCAGAAAUAAUGGUAUCUAGAAUAAUCAGAUAUUAUCUUAAAAUAAUACCAUCUAAUACAACAUUCAAGAUCCAACUAAUAGAAAAGAAUAAAGAAGGAAGAAAAGGGGGAAGAGAGGGAGAAAGGAAAUAGAUGAGGGAGUCUCAAAGAACAAUAAAAACAAUUUCCAAAAGAUAAAGGGAUGCAAGUGUCUUAUAUUUGGAAAACUGUCCCAAGGGCUGGCGCAGUUAAUCACAUCUCCAUAUUUUGUACAACAAGAAAACAAGACAUCAUCUUAAAAGGUCCCAGGGGGGAAAAGAAAAGCAAGUAAUACAGACA
Molecule: long non-coding RNA, 714 nt
Filed under: Homo sapiens (human)
Lineage: Eukaryota; Metazoa; Chordata; Mammalia; Primates; Hominidae
Description: HSALNT0084874
Source: RNAcentral